UGAGUAACACGUAUGCAACCUGCCUGCCACAGCCGGAUAAUCGGGAGAAAUUCCGUCUAAUACGGCAUAAUGCAUCGACGGGACAUCCUGUUGGUGCCAAAGGUUGAUUCCGGUGGCGGAUGGGCAUGCGUCGCAUUAGUUAGUUGGCGGUGUAACGGACCACCAAGACGACGAUGCGUAGGGGUUCUGAGAGAAAGGUCCCCCACACUGGUACUGAGACACGGACCAGACUCCUACGGGAGGCAGCAG
RNAcentral lists this ribosomal RNA (249 nucleotides) under uncultured bacterium. RNAcentral describes it as "partial 16S ribosomal RNA". It matches the Rfam family "Bacterial small subunit ribosomal RNA", at positions 107 to 354 of the family's 1533-position model. The record is from RNAcentral.